Molecule: ribosomal RNA, 254 nt
Filed under: uncultured Lactobacillus sp.
Lineage: Bacteria; Bacillati; Bacillota; Bacilli; Lactobacillales; Lactobacillaceae
Description: partial 16S ribosomal RNA
Rfam family: Bacterial small subunit ribosomal RNA
Source: RNAcentral
GCAUAGCCGAGUUGAGAGACUGAUCGGCCACAUUGGGACGUGAGACACGGCCCCAAACUCCUACGGGAGGCAGCAGUAGGGAAUCUUCCACAAUGGACGCAAGUCUGAUGGAGCAACGCCGCGUGAGUGAAGAAGGGUUUCGGCUCGUAAAGCUCUGUUGUUGGUGAAGAAGGACAGGGGUAGUAACUGACCUUUUGUUUGACGGUAAUCAAUUAGAAAGUCACGGCUAACUACGUGCCAGCAGCCGCGGUAAU